CAGUCGCCACGGGAAUACGUAGGGUGCAAGCGUUAAUCGGAAUUACUGGGCGUAAAGCGUGCGCAGGCGGUCCGCUAAGACAGAUGUGAAAUCCCCGGGCUUAACCUGGGAACUGCAUUUGUGACUGGCGAGCUAGAGUAUGGCAGAGGGGGGUAGAAUUCCACGUGUAGCAGUGAAAUGCGUAGAGAUGUGGAGGAAUACCGAUGGCGAAGGCAGCCCCCUGGGCCAAUACUGACGCUCAUGCACGAAAGCGUGGGGAGCAAACAGGAUUAGAUACCCCGGUAGUCCCUGUCUCUUAUAC
This 301-nucleotide ribosomal RNA is filed under the name uncultured bacterium. Its description in RNAcentral is "partial 16S ribosomal RNA". It matches the Rfam family "Bacterial small subunit ribosomal RNA", at positions 509 to 807 of the family's 1533-position model. The record is from RNAcentral.